CCUACGGGAGGCAGCAGUGGGGGAUAUUGCACAAUGGGGGGAACCCUGAUGCAGCGACGCCGCGUGGGUGAAGAAGCGCCUCGGCGCGUAAAGCCCUGUCAGCAGGGAAGAAAAUGACGGUACCUGACGAAGAAGCCCCGGCGAACUACGUGCCAGCAGCCGCGGUAAUACGUAGGGGGCAAGCGUAAUCCGGAUUUACUGGGGGUAAAGGGGGCGCAGACGGGGAUGCAAGCCAGGAGUGAAAGCCCGGGGCCCAACCCCGGUACUGCUCUUGGAACUGCGUGGCUGGAGUGCAGGAGGGGCAGGCGGAAUGCCUGGUGUAGCGGGGAAAUGCGUAGAUAUCAGGAGGAACACCGGUGGCGAAGGCGGCCUGCUGGACUGCAACUGACGUUGAGGCCCGAAAGCGUGGGGAGCAAACAGGAGUAGAUACCCGAGUAGUC
This 440-nucleotide ribosomal RNA is filed under the name uncultured bacterium. Its description in RNAcentral is "partial 16S ribosomal RNA". It matches the Rfam family "Bacterial small subunit ribosomal RNA", at positions 338 to 795 of the family's 1533-position model. The record is from RNAcentral.